GUGGCUAUGGUGUAGUGGUAGCACAGCGCCCUGUGGCGGCGCUAGCACGGGUUCAAAUCCCGUUAGCCACCCCA
This 74-nucleotide transfer RNA is filed under the name Parcubacteria group bacterium QH_9_35_7. RNAcentral describes it as "tRNA-His". It matches the Rfam family "tRNA". Rfam says of the family: Transfer RNA (tRNA) molecules are approximately 80 nucleotides in length. Their secondary structure includes four short double-helical elements and three loops (D, anti-codon, and T loops). The record is from RNAcentral.